AGUGAACGCUGGCGGUAGGCCUAACACAUGCAAGUCGAACGGCUGCACAGUACGUGCUUGCUCUUUCGGGUGGCGAGUGGCGGGUGGGUGCGAAAUAUCUCGGUAUCUACUUUUUCUAAGGGGCUAACGCAGGCACUCAUACGCCAUUACUCCUUACGACCUACGGGUGGAAGCAGGGGAUCUUAGGCUCUCGGACGAUUCUAUGACCGGAUGUCUGAUUAGCUAGUUGGCGGGGUAAAGGCCCACCAAGGCGACGAUCCGUAGCUGGUCUGAGAGGAUGAUCAGCCACACUGGAACUGAGACACGGUCCAGACUCCUACGGGAGGCAGCAGUGGGGAAUAUUGGACAAUGGGCGCAAGCCUGAUCCAGCCAUACCGCGUGUGUGAAGAAGGCCUUCGGGUUGUAAAGCCCUUUUGGUGGGAAAGAAAAGCAGCAGGUUAAUACCCCGCUGUUCUGACGGUACCCAAAGAAUAAGCACCGGCUAACUUCGUG
RNAcentral lists this ribosomal RNA (492 nucleotides) under uncultured bacterium. Its description in RNAcentral is "partial 16S ribosomal RNA". It matches the Rfam family "Bacterial small subunit ribosomal RNA", at positions 29 to 507 of the family's 1533-position model. The record is from RNAcentral.